GACGAACGCUGGCGGCGUGCCUAAUACAUGCAAGUAGAACGCUGAAGGAGGAGCUUGCUUCUCUGGAUGAGUUGCGAACGGGUGAGUAACGCGUAGGUAACCUGCCUGGUAGCGGGGGAUAACUAUUGGAAACGAUAGCUAAUACCGCAUAAUACUGACUAUUGCAUGAUAGUCAGUUGAAAGGUGCAACUGCACCACUACCAGAUGGACCUGCGUUGUAUUAGCUAGUUGGUGGGGUAACGGCUCACCAAGGCGACGAUACAUAGCCGACCUGAGAGGGUGAUCGGCCACACUGGGACUGAGACACGGCCCAGACUCCUACGGGAGGCAGCAGUAGGGAAUCUUCGGCAAUGGACGGAAGUCUGACCGAGCAACGCCGCGUGAGUGAAGAAGGUUUUCGGAUCGUAAAGCUCUGUUGUAAGAGAAGAACGAGUGUGAGAGUGGAAAGCUCACACUGUGACGGUAUCUUACCAGAAAGGGACGGCUAACUACGUG
RNAcentral lists this ribosomal RNA (495 nucleotides) under uncultured bacterium. RNAcentral describes it as "partial 16S ribosomal RNA". It matches the Rfam family "Bacterial small subunit ribosomal RNA", at positions 28 to 507 of the family's 1533-position model. The record is from RNAcentral.